Non-coding RNA from Sus scrofa (pig), 8817 nucleotides. The record is from RefSeq and is a predicted model, not a curated record. Lineage: Eukaryota; Metazoa; Chordata; Mammalia; Artiodactyla; Suidae.
CACUGAACCACAAUGGGAACUCCCUAUGUGGGGUUCUUGAGAGCCACAGUGGGAACUCCAAGACAAUUGUUUUUGAGAUUUUUUUUACAUCCUCACUUUUGGAUUCCAAGUGGUGUUCCAGGCAUGACCACCAUCUUGUUCUUAUUUUAUUUUUUUAAAAAUGAGUUGAAAUUCCAGUUAACUUCUAGUGAUUUCUAGAAGUCAUAGUGUCAUAGUCACCCUUGGAGGACCUAAGAGACCAUUCAUUACUCAUGCUUAAGAGAUUCAGAGGAACAUCCUCUGAAGGCAGACCUUGUUACCUGGCUGUGUGGUUAGCUGUGUGUACCUUGUUCUCUCAAAUAGCCGGGUCAAGGACUGCCAGGUGACGGCUGAGUCUUUAGCUUGAGUAGGGAACCCUGGUGAAGACAUCCCCCCAGUUUGUAGAGAUGACAUAGUCCUCUCCCUGGGGCAGAUUUAGUUUGAACUUGGUAGUCCCAUCCCCUAAUAAGCCAGCUUUCUCUGGCUCUGACUGAGCAGAGGUCUCUAUAGUCAUGGAAAAUGGAGUUGUCUUCGUGUAUUUUCCCUGCGUCCCCCCCAGCUGUCCCUCACUGAUGAUCAGUGUUGGGGCCACACCAGUCCUUUUCCAGCUGAAAUCUAUUCCUACCUGCCUCUCCAGGUGGCGGUCAUACCUUCUUUCCUCAUCCAUCCAUGGCUGGCUGCAGGGCAGUCAUCUUCCUUCCUGUACUUUUGGCUGGAGGGAUCCCUGGCCAGCCAGCAUCCCAGAAGCUAGUGUGCUGAGGGGACAUGGGGUUAGAAUGCAGGAGGAUGAUUAAAAGCAAGAGCUCAAGAUUGUAAGAUGCAAAAGUGGCCAUCUGUCCCGGAUUUCCUGGGCCAAUUGUAAAUCCAGAUCAACUCUUCUUUGUCCCACAGAAGAGCAAUCUAGUGGAUGGAAUGUGAUGCAGUCAUUUAAAAUGAUGUGGAUGAAAUUAAAAGAAAGGUGAAAGUGUCUGUGUUACAAUAAAUUUUAAAAAUCAAGAUGCAGAAUCCUAAAUAUAGUAUGAUCACAAUUAUAUGAAAACAAAAAAGCACCCAUCUCAUCCCUUACCCCCUGGAAAUAAACCCAGGCAUAUAAAAAAGAAUGACAGUAAAUAUAUCAAGUAUUCAAAACUCUUUACCUUUGGGUACCAGAACUAUCGUGACUUUUUUCUUUCCUUUUAGCUUUUUUUUCCUUAUAUUUCUCAAUUCUUCUCUAAUAACCCUGUAUCAGUGUCUUAACUGGAAGCCAAUUUAAACAGGUAAAAAUACCAAACAAACCUUUUUUUAUUGUUGGGACUUUGUGUCCUGAGUUUUGGCUUAGAUACAGCUUCAUAACUGAGAUGACCUGAGAACUCUUCUUCCCUGUCUCAGCCUCUGGAAAUCUGAAAAGUCAGGCAAGACCAGGUUCCAGGAAGACAUUUCGGGCAUAGUUCUGCCUGGAGGCAGGGGCUGGACAAGGCAGCCUCUCAGAGCCCCUUCCCACCCCUGAUGAGCGGUUAUCUCUGUGUUGCACACAGCCUCUGCCAACAGUGAGCAGGCUCUAAGUGUGGUGACAUUCUCCGAGGGGGAGCAGUAACAAAAGUCUGGCUGGGAUGGAAGCCGGGGGCGGGGACUCUGGAGUGAGUGCCUGAGCUGAUAAGGAGCCAGUGAUCUUUCUGCCUGGUGGGACUUGCACUUCCAGCUGCCAAGCAUCCUGCAGAGCCCAGCCCCCAGGAAAGCUGGUGCCUGCUGCGGCGGUCCUGCUGCUGGCGCAGCCCAGAGAGCACGGUGGUCACGGCUACUUCUGCAAAGAACUUCCCUAAUGGUGCAGGGUGUCAGGACUCUGUCCUGGGUUGGGGGAAGGAUCUCUUAGCCUUUGAGCAGCAGUGGUUUUGAAGGAAGCAGCGUUAUCUCCAAGGUGGAAACUAGGAUUUUUCCUUGUAGCACUUCUGUCAAAGUGACCCUGGCCAGCGGACAUCCAGAGUGCGUCUUCCUCAGCAGUCUUGCCUGGAUCCUCCAGCCCCAUCUCCUCAGGGCCCUGCCCUCCAAGUCAGAUGUUCUCCACUUCUCAGGCAAAAAGCCUCAGUUUACUGCAGCUACCUGGAUCCUGUUGCCCAUGAGACCAGCAACUCCCCAGCCUUACCACACUGGUUCUUAGACUUUGAGAAAGGCUUGCAGAUCCUGGAGUUGGCAGGGUCUGGGAAUCAAGCAUCAAGCUGAUCGAGGAUAGGGAUUGGAUUUGUGUGGAGUCCUUUGUUGCUGCUGCUGCUGCUGCUUUGAAAAACUCUGGUAAAUGCUGGGGAUCUGUGGAGGCAGGCCAAAUCCACAUAUGUCAAAGCAAGAGAGAAACCAAAGACCGUCCAGCAUGGUCAGUGAAACGUCCACGGCUGGGACCACUUCCACCGUGGAGGCCAAGCCUGGCCCCAAGAUCAUAAAGUCCAGCAGUAAAGUCCACAGCUUUGGGAAGAGGGAUCAGGCUAUUCGGAGGAACCUGAAUGUUCCAGUGGUGGUGAGGGGCUGGCUGCACAAGCAGGACAGUUCUGGGAUGAGGCUGUGGAAAAGGAGGUGGUUUGUGCUUGCUGAUUAUUGCUUGUUUUACUAUAAAGACAGCCGAGAAGAAGCGGUCCUUGGAAGCAUCCCUCUGCCCAGCUACGUGAUCUCGCCGGUGGCCCCUGAGGAUCGCAUAAGUCGCAAAUAUUCCUUUAAGGCCGUGCACACGGGGAUGCGAGCGCUCAUCUAUAAUAGCUCCGCCGGGGGCUCUCAGGCCGAGCAGUCGGGUAUGAGGACCUACUACUUCAGUGCCGACACCCAGGAGGACAUGAACGCUUGGGUCAGGGCCAUGAACCAGGCUGCACAGGUGCUGUCUCGAUCGUCACUGAAGAGGGACAUGGAGAAGGUGGAGCGGCAGGCGGUUCCCCAGGCCAACCACACAGAGUCCUGUCGAGAGUGUGGCCGCGUGGGACCUGGACAUGCGAGGGAUUGUCCUCAUCGUGGCCAUGAAGACUCCUUCGGAUUUGAGAGGCGGGAGCAGGAGGAAGACCGGUACCGCUCCCAGAGGGACCCACUGGAGGGCAAGCGGGACAGGAGCAAGGCCAGGUCCCCAUACUCGCCAGCUGAGGACGAUGCCUUAUUCGUGGAUUUACCCAGUGGCCCGAGAGGCCAGCAGGCUCAGCCCCAACGGGCCGAGAGGAACGGUGUGCUGCCUGCCGCGUCUGGCCCAGGAGAGCAGAAUGGGACUGGCGGGUACCAGCGGGCCUUUCCUCCCAGGACCAACCUUGAGAAGCACAGCCAGAGGAAGAGCAAUCUGGCCCAAGUGGAGCAGUGGGCAAAGGCCCAGAAGGGGGACAGCAGGAGCCUGCCCCUGGAUCAGACCCUUCCUCGCCAGGGUCCCAGCCAGUCCCUGCCCUUCCCAGAAAACUACCAGACUCUUCCCAAGAGCAACCGACACCCCUCGGGGGGCUCUUCUCCCCCUCCCCGCAACCUGCCCAGUGACUACAAGUACGCACAGGACCGAGCCAGCCACCUGAAGAUGUCGAGCGAGGAGCGCCGAGCACACCGGGAUGGCACCGUGUGGCAGCUCUACGAAUGGCAGCAGCGCCAGCAGUUCCGGCACGGGAGCCCCACAGCGCCCAUCGGGACCGGCUCCCCGGAGUUCACUGACCAGGGCCGGAGCAGGAGUAUGCUAGAGGUGCCCCGUUCCAUCUCUGUGCCUCCAUCGCCCUCGGACAUCCCUCCCCCAGGACCCCCGAGAGUCUUUCCACCCCGGCGGCCACACACACCAGCAGAGAGGGUCACCGUGAAGCCACCGGACCAGAGGAGGAGUGUGGACAUUUCGCUCGGAGGGUCUCCCAGGAAGGCAUGGGGCCACACCACCAAGAAUUCCUCUCAUGUGGACCGGCGCUCCAUGCCCUCCAUGGGUUACAUGACCCACACCGUCAGCGCUCCCAGUUUACAUGGAAAAUCGGCUGACGAUACCUACCUCCAGCUGAAGAAAGACCUGGAGUACCUGGACCUAAAGAUAAAAAAUAAUGAACCUUUGAUCAACGUGCUUUACAAAGUGCUGAAGAAGUCAGCACGGGGCUGUCGGCCCAGGAGAAGCAUGACAGGCCGGGAUCUUCUCAAGGACCGAAGUCUGAAGCCAGUGAAGAUUGCUGAGAGUGACAUUGACGUCAAACUGAGCGUCUUCUGUGAACAAGACAGGAUCCUCCAGGACUUGGAAGACAAGAUACGAGCCCUUAAGGAGAACAAAGACCAGCUAGAGUCCGUGCUGGAGGUGUUGCACAGACAGAUGGAGCAGUACCGAGACCAGCCCCAGCACCUGGAGAAGAUUGCCUACCAGCAGAGGCUGCUGCAAGAGGAUCUUGUCCACAUCCGGGCGGAGCUCUCCAGAGAGUCCACUGAGAUGGAAAAUGCCUGGAAUGAGUACCUGAAGUUGGAGAGAGAUGUGGAGCAGCUGAAGCAGACCCUGCAGGAGCAGCACAGUCGAGCCUUUUUUUUCCAGGAGAAAUCACAGAUACAGAAGGAUCUCUGGAGGAUUGAAGACGUCAUUGCAGGCCUGAGUGCAAACAAAGAGAACUUCAGAAUCCUGGUGGAAUCGGUGAAAAAUCCGGAGAGAAAAACGGUGCCUUUGCUUCCUCACCCACCUGUGCCUUCACUCUCGACGCCUGAGAGCAAGCCGCCCCCGCCGCCCAGCCCUCCCACCAGCCCCACGCGGACCCCUCUGGAGGUUCGUCUCUUCCCCCAGCUGCAAACCUACGUGCCGUACCGACCUCACCCACCCCAGCUGAGGAAGGUGACGUCCCCCCUUCAGUCACCCACCAAGACAAAGCCCAAAGUUGAAGACGAGGCACCUCCCAGGCCCCCGCUCCCUGAGCUCUACAGCCCAGAGGACCAGCCCCCGGCCGUGCCACCCCUGCCGAGGGAGGCCACCAUCAUCCGGCACACUUCAGUGAGGGGCCUCAAGCGGCAGUCAGACGAGAGGAAGCGAGACCGGGAGCAGGGGCAGUGCGUGAACGGGGACUCGAGGGUGGAACUCCGGUCGUAUGUCAGUGAGCCUGAGCUGGCCACCUUCAGUGGGGACAUGGCCCCUCCCUCGCUGGGACUCGUGGGCCCUGAGAGCAGGUACCAGACGCUGCCAGGCAGAGGGCUCUCGGGGUCCACGUCAAGGCUCCAGCAGUCAUCCACCAUUGCUCCCUACGUCACCCUCCGGAGGGGUCUGGAUGCCGAAAGCAGCAAGGUGACCUACGCUAGACCCAAGAGUGCCUUGGAGCGCCUGUACUCAGGGGACCACCAGCGGGGCAAGAUGAGCGCAGAGGAGCAGCUGGAGCGCAUGAAGCGGCACCAGAAGGCGCUGGUCCGGGAGCGCAAGAGGACACUGAGCCAAGGAGAGAGGACGGGUCUGCCCUCGUCCCGCUACCUCAGCCAACCACUCCCCGGAGAUCUCGGCUCAUGGAAGCGUGAGCAGGACUUUGACCUGCAGCUGCUGGAACGGGCCGUACAAGGGGACAGAAAGGACAAGGAGGAGAAUGGCUGGCUGAAGGUGCAGGCCAUGCCUGUCACUGAGUUGGACCUGGAACCACAAGACUAUGACGUGGACAUCAGCAGAGAGCUCUCCAAACCCGAGAAGGUCUCCAUCCCCGAGCGUUAUGUGGAGCUGGAUCCCGAAGAGCCGCCCAGCCUGGAGGAGCUGCAGGCUCGGUACCGCAAAGCCGAGAAGAUCCGUAACAUCCUGGCCCGGUCCAGCAUGUGCAACCUGCAGCCCACAUCUAGCCAGGACCGGGACAGCGUGGCCGAUCUGGACUCGCAGCUGCAGGAGCAGGAGCGCAUCAUCAACAUCUCCUACGCCCUGGCCUCGGAGGCCUCCCAGCGCAGCAAGCAGGUGGCAGGUGAGGUCCUGGUGGGGAGGGGCAGCCUCCGAGGCCGGCCCCAUCCCUGCUCCUUGGGCUUAGGGCCCAGCAUGGCCUGUCAGGGAGUCAGGGGAAAAGCGAGUGUCAAGCUUGGUUGUUGAGGGACAGUGGUGUAUCCCUCUGUCCUCCGAGCUCCUCAGGGCUUGCACAGGGGAUGGGCGAGGCGGCGGGAGCUGGAGGGGUGUCAGAGGAGAGGUCCCAGAGGGGUGACUCAUUCUAAAAUCUGAGAGCGGUGCUGCUCUUCAGUUUCCUGUGAGAUUGCUAGGUGGGAACAAGUUUUUCAGGCUUCUGAACAAAAGGGCCAAGGCUAAGAUGUCUGGCCUCAUGAAGAAGGGGGGCAGGAAAGGCUCUGGUGCUUGGAUUUCUUGUGCGGGCAAGGCAGAAGGGGGUCCCUCUAACCCUCCCUGGGGCUCCUACUUUGAUCCCCAAAUCAGAGCCACUGUUCACCAUAUCAGAGUGGCCUGUGUCAGAAAGCAGGACGGGGGAAGAGGGACUUUGCUGCCCAGUGGGGGAAAAAUAGCACCAUGGGGUGUGAGGGGGUGUGUAUAUGCGUGUGUAAAAAGGUGUUCUCUCUCAGCCAGGAGACUCCUGGCUCCUCUCUCUGCCCACACGUGCCUCCCCGUAUGAGCCUUCACAGUUCCUCCCCAGAUGCAGGGGCCACUGCAUGUCCAGGUGGUGUCCUUGGCCUUGGCCAGGUGUGAGGAGGAUGGUCAUAGAGCCUGAGUGGUGUCACGGUCCCCACCUGUCCUCCCACCCUGACCAAAGGGUCCACAAGUGGCCAAGGGGGGGGGCCCUGCUGGGUCCCAAUUGCCCAGCCCUGGGGAGCAUAGCCUUAACAUCACCUCGAGAAACUACAGGCGUGACGGAGGACAAGGGGAAGCCUGUUCUGUCCCCCAGCUCUGAUCCCGGACAGAGUCCCUGAAAUCCCUGCUGUCCUGACUCCCCUGAGGAUAUGUGGGUGGGCUGAGAGGGGGCCAUUGUUGGGGAGACAGCAGAUGCUCCUCCAGACCUGCCCUCCUAAUAAACCUGGGGGCUCCCUGUGGCCCAUCGUGGCGAUUUUGAAUUCCUCCCAUGUCAAGGGUUCCAGCCGGGGCACUGUCCCCUCCAUAAAGUGCCCUCCUCUCUGGCUGUGCUUUCUCUCCCUGUGGGCCUCCUGUCCUCGGCUUCCUCAGCACCAGCAGGCGAGCGUGCCCCACACAUAACACCCUGACGCCCCACGGUCACGCCCCCACUGAGUCGCCACCUUUGCCUUUCCUCCCUCUUGCUCCCCGCUCCACCUCAGACAUUGCCAGGCCCCCACCAGGCCCCACGGACAUGCCCCUAAGCCCAGGCCUUUAGUGCUGGGCCGGGGGGCCCACGGCACCGGCCCUGCCGAGUGGGGCGUCUGGUGCUGUGGGAGCAGACGAGGAGCCUGACGCACCACUUGAUCCCUGUGUGCCCAUCUAGCCCAGCAGCUGGCCCUCCUCCCGCCUAAAGGCCCCCUGUCCUCCAGGACGGUGCCACCUUACCCCCCCUUAAGCAACGGACUUCACUACACCUUUGUCUAACACCUGCCAACCCAGGCAGUGACUGACCCGUGAUCCAACGUGCAGAGAAGUCCAGAGCCAGGGACCAUCCGAACAGUGUCCUCCGAGAAGACUGAUCCUUCCUCCCUCAAGGAAACCCCUUCCCGCCAAGCAGGGGUUCAGGCUGGAAGACGGAGCAGCCCCCGGACUGUGGAGCGUUCUCUGCAGGGCUUGGUCCCAACACCCCCGCUUGGUUUAGUUCAGACUCCUUUUCACAUGUGACAAAGGCACUUUUGAUACACACUGUAAAGUACUGACACUGUCUUUUAGAAUCAGGACCUAUUUUAUAAUGUUCACCUCAAGGGCUGAGUGGCUGAGAAGGUGAGGCUGCAAGAUUUGGGAGCUGCACCUACGGAUUCAGGUACCGUGUGGGUGGCAGGUGUGGGUGGAGGCAGAGGCAGAGUGAGCAGAGGCCAGUCCAAGCUCUGAUGAACCCAAGUGAGGCUGGAUUGGCGCUGCGCUUCCAGUGGAUUCCAGUGUUAGGCUCAUUGGCGUGCUGUCCGGGGCAGAGAUCAGCCGUCCCUGACCUGGCUUGAUGACCCGCUUCGAGAUGGCACGUGGAGCCCAAGCCUGCGCCUCGGCCUUAGGUUUGGUUUAGCGUCAAUGGCGUGUCCAGGAGUUUUGGUUCCCAACCCACUCACGAAGGUCUCUUAGCAAAGGGCUCUUCACCAAAAUGCAAACAAAAACCCAAUUCACUUUCAUUAAAAACAAAAAACACUUUGAAGUGCAGAAAAGGCGAGAUGCAUCUUUGAUUGUAUCAUAAGCAAUAAAUGUCACACUAGGUGGUAUCCGUCUGCAACCCCCUGUGACCACACUAGGCUGUGAUAGGAAUCCCAGGAUUUUUGUGGCCUGCCCCCGAGGACACAGGUCAGCUACCCUGGGACGUGAGUGGGUGGCAGGGGGCAGGCAGCACGGUCCCCCACCAUCCCUGAUGGCCAGCAGGGCUGAUGGCAGGACUGUGACUUGACUUCCAGCCUAAUAAGGGGAGGGGGCUGCCAAGCCAGGCACAAUGUUUGUGGCCCUUUAUAUAAUCAUGAGCUCAUGAUGUUCUGCAUCUAGAAAAUGAGGUGGAAAACAAAACAAAACAAAACUCCAUUGCGUGGAGCCACACUUUAAAUGAAAAUUUGUCUUUGACUAUGGUCAGAAAAAUAAUCUUGAAUAUAUUUAGAAGUUGCUGUCUAUUUUUAACUAACUCCAUAUGCUGCCAGUAUCAACUUCAUGACAUUUGCCAAAAUAAGAUUUUAUUUUUGCCUUUAUAAGAUUUUGUUGGAAAAAUGAAAUGAAUAUUUUGCAAGAAAAAGUUAAUUUAAAUAAAAGUGUAACGGUUUGCAAAAAAAAAAAAAUGUGAUGUA